This is a non-coding RNA of Aedes albopictus (Asian tiger mosquito), 31 nucleotides long. NCBI's taxonomy places the organism in Eukaryota, Metazoa, Arthropoda, Insecta, Diptera, Culicidae. The record is from Rfam.
CAAACGGUCCUUUUCAGGACCACCGAAAAUA